Molecule: long non-coding RNA, 2081 nt
Filed under: Sus scrofa (pig)
Lineage: Eukaryota; Metazoa; Chordata; Mammalia; Artiodactyla; Suidae
Description: lncRNA (ENSSSCG00050066041.1)
Source: RNAcentral
CAUUGCUGUGGCUGUGGUGUAGGCCGGCAGCUACAGCUCUGAUUCGACCCCAGCCUGGGAACUUCCAUAUGCUGCAGGUGCAGCCCUAAAAAGAAAAAAAAAAUCCUGGGUUUGUAAUGGGCUCUUGCUGACCUCCUAUGAAGGUUCAGGUGUGAUGCUAUUUCACUAACCCACCAAGUCUUGCAGGAGUCCUCAAGAUUUUUCAAUGUGACUGUUACAUGUUAGGGUAAUUCAGGGACCCCAAAGAUCCUUCAAUUAGGCCUUAGGAUUCUAGGCAGGCCAUGUGUCCUGGUGGCCGGCCCUGCCAAGCAAUGAUGAGCAGGCAGCAACACUGAACCCUGGAAGACAUCUGAUGGAGCUCAGGUUGGGCUCGGGCCCUGACCCUCUUCCAGAGCGCCCUGGGAAACCCUCAUGCCCAGGCCGUGCUUCGUCUUAGGGUAAAAGCCUCGUCUUAGGGUUUGCCAACUGCAUGCUUUCUCCACCUGGUCCCCGGUAUGGGUCCUAGACUUGACACACUGUGACACCUCCAAGAGGGGAGGGGAGCAGCAGGAGUGAUGGAUAAGAAGGUCCUGCCUGGGCCAGGCUGUGUGGACCCGGGCCAUGGCGGGAGCGGGCUUCGAGAUGUAGGGGUGGGCUCUUAGGUGUAGAAUGCGCCCUGUGCUUGGACCCAGACUGGAACCCGUGACUCAAGAUCCUCUUCUCCCUGAAGUCCUGUCUUGCUGAGACUCUGGAGUGAGCAGGCGUUUGUUCAGAUGUGCAGUCAUGAUAGGAAGAUCCGGUCACUUGAUGCCAGGAGGGUGAGGGGUGCAGGGGAGAGGGGGCCAGAGCAGCAGAGGACAGCCAUAGAGGUGAUGAAGGACGAGAGGGGGGGUCCUGGGUUCCCACGUGGGGGCUGUGCCCUCGACCUCCGGCCUCUUUUCUGGGACCUGCGUGGAGGAGGGUCCAGGAAGGGGCAGAGCCAGUGAUUCUCGACACCAGUCCCUUCAGAAAAGGUGGCUGCUCACUUACGCUUAAAAUUCCUUUGAGGGGAGACCACAUUUUUUUUUUCUGCUUUGAGGAAUUGGGCUGAAAAUACAACCCUGCCCUGGGAGCAGAAGUUACAGUCAUCAUCGGAAACAAAGGCCUCGUUUUAGGUCCAGGGCAGCAGCGGGCCACGUCCCACCCACCGCCGGGUUUUGUGUCCCGGAGCCUGGAACUGUUUCUCAAUUUCAAAAUGGUUGGAAAAGAAAUCAAAAGGGCAGCAUUUCACAAUGUGGAAAUUAUGAGGUUCUUUUCAGUGUCCGAGGACGACGCCUCACUGGGGUGCGGCCACGCUCGUGGGCUCCCGUGUGUGCAGGGACAGAGCGGAGCGGUCGUGGCAGGGACUGUACGUGGCACUCUUCUGCCUCACACCCCACCUCCGCCCGCUGCACAGCGCAGGGGUGCGGCGCUGAUGCGAAGGCAGUCUGAGUGCCAGGUGCAUCGCCAAAACAUGACCUUUUUAAAAAUGUUUGUUUGUUUGUUUGUUUUUGUCUUUUUGCCUUUUUUCCAGGGCUGCCCCCGCUGCACAUGGAAGUUCCCAGGCUAGGGGUUGAAUCAGAGCUGUAGCCACAGCCACAGCAACGCAGGAUCCGAGCCGCGUCUGCAACCUACACCACAACUCACGGCAAUGCAAGAUCCUUAACCCACUGAGCAAGGCCAGGGACCGAACCCGCAACCUCAUGGUUCUGAGUUGGAUUCGUUAACCACUGAGCCACGACGGGAGCACCAGAGAAUAUUUUCAAAGUUGAGAAAACACUAAGUCAUACAACCUGAAGAGGCUCUGUGAAGAUGUGCAGAUUGUGUGAUGGUGAUAAAAAUGCAGGCGGAAAAGAGAAAGGCUCUGUCGGGUAAAUCUAUAGUCGGUCCUACACACCCACAGGUUCUGCAUCCACAGAUUCCACCAACUACAGAUGGGAAAUACCUGAAAAAAAAAAACCUCCAGAAAAUUGCCAAAAACAAAACUUGACUUUGCCAUGCACUGGAACUGUUUACAUAGCAUUUAUAUUGUAGUUAUAACUAUCGACAUAGAUUUUUACAUCGCAGUAGGUAUUACAAGUAAU